This 2093-nucleotide long non-coding RNA is filed under the name Ananas comosus (pineapple). RNAcentral's name for it is "long non-coding RNA (ACOM_LNC011225)". The record is from RNAcentral. Lineage: Eukaryota; Viridiplantae; Streptophyta; Magnoliopsida; Poales; Bromeliaceae.
GAUUCAUCAAGCACCGCUUUCAAUUUUUCGCAAAAUUCAAUUCUCUCCGAUGGAAAUCACGGCGUGCGCUGAGGAUCUCUCGGGCAUCUUUAUUUUUAGGGAUCCGCCGUGUUUUGAUGCGUGAAGUUGGUAUUUUCAUGAAAACUAAUUAGGUUUAGAUGGCUUACAUGGUUUUAUCAUUUUAGAUCUCUCGAUCCGGUGGCUUUGGUGAAAGCUAAUUAGGUUUCGCUACCUUCAAAUUGGGGCCUUGGUUGUUUUGUGUCGAGUCAUAUGCCUAUUCCUUGGAUCUGAGUGUCUCCGGUAGAUAUUCUCGAGGAUAUAGUGCUGUGGAUAACAUAUUUGCAGGCCUGUUUUGAUGCCAUUAUUCCGAGAAACUCCUGGGGCUCAUUAUUUCAUUACUUGUUUGUUCAUUUUUCUUUAAUUAUAUCUGCUACUGACGCUAGCUCGAUCUUAAUUUUAGAUUUUACUGCUAAAUGGCUUAACGAAAAUUUUUCAAUCUUUCACUUUACAGAUACCUUAUGCUGUUUUCAGCGUCAAUAUUUAGAUUUUGGCAACUUCAGUUAUUGAUAUGCGGUUGAUUAAAGCACGCUUUGUUAAUGUUAAGAGUGUUCUGUAAAAAGAAAUUAGUAUGCUGUUCUGUCUGCUUAAAACGAUCACUGUAUUGAUGCUUGUUGCAUUGACACGUGAACUGUCUUGAUCAUAACCAUAGUUAGUUAAUUCGGAUUCGGCAAAAAUUCGGUACAGAUAUAAUUCGGAUAAAAUUCGUCUUCUAAUUUUUAAAUUCGUUGAAAAAAAGGGCUAAAAAACGGAUUCGCCAAUUAUUCGGAUACGUGAUUUAUACGGAUAUUAUACGUUCACUAAUUAAAAAUUCGGGAUCAAAAAUUCGGCUAUUAAAUUAAUUUUUUUUUUUCUCUCAAGAUUUAUGCUAUGAGCAUAAAUAUUCAUAUUUUUUAAGAAUAUAAGAAUAAAGAGCUACAAAAUUAAACUAAGUAAGUAAAAAAAAUAGUAAACUAUAUUAUGCCUCAAAAUAAAGAAAUAAUUAAGCAAAUAGAGAUCAAGAUAGUCCAUAUUUAAAUUGCUGCAUUUCUAAUACUAAAAAGUUAUGUUUCAAAAAUUAAGUAGAAACCCCACUGAGUCAAUGGUCCAUGAAAGACCACAACAAAAUUUUCUUUUGCAAGUGUCGACAGUACAAGAUCAUGAAAUUGAUUAGGUAUAAUAGAAGAGUUCCUGGUCCCUAAGUUAAUUAAGAUUAUUUAGCUCUAUGUUUGGGUCUUCUUUGUGCAUAACAGAGAAUGGACACAUUCAAUUAAGCACUCGAGAUUAAGUUAAGGCCCAAAAUAAAAAUUUAAAAUCAAUAUGCGAAUCUGUACAAAUAAACUAGAAAAUGAUGAUUUAAUCCUCGACUAUAUCAAUAUGCGAAUCCGAAUUAACUAACUAACUAUGAAUUAACCAACUAUGAUUUAAUCCUCUUCGAUCUUCGAUUUCUGAAGAGGAGGGCUUCCGAUGGCGUUCGGUGAGCGGCCGGAAGGGAAGAGGGGGAGGGGAAGGGACCGCGACUGCCGCAGGGGUCGGUGGCAGGGCGGCUCCGCCGCAGGGGUCGGUGGCAAGGCCGCACCGCCGCAGGGGUGAGAAGUUAGGGCAAACCCUUUUUUUGGGAGGAGUGGGGGUGGGACUCGAGGUGGGAGGGGGGCGAUCAUUUCACUUCAGAUUUCAGAAAGUUUUUUUUUUUUUUUUUGGCCUUUUGGGCGACAGGGUGAGGGCCGUGACUCGUGAGGCAAAACGGGUUUUGGGCGAGGAAAAACGGGUUUUGGGCCGGUUUUUUGGGCCGAAUUAUUCGCGAAUUCCGUUUAAUUCGCGAAUAAUUCUUUUUACCCAAAAAAAGGCGAAUUUUUCCGAAUUUUUGGGAAAAAUACGAAAACGGGAGUUUUAUUCGGCAUUUCAAAAAUUCGCGAAUAAUUCGCGAAUAAUUCGCGAAUUAACUAACUAUGAUCAUAACCAUUUUCUAUACGUAUAUCGGUUCAUUUUCAUUCGCUGGUUUUCAUAAAUACUGGGAUGAAUCAAAACAUUUUUUUUUUUUGUUUUGGUUGGUUGGG